UGAAAAAUCAGGACCAAUAAGGAGGAAUAAGGAUUAGAGCUAGGUUGUUUUGUGGACCUAAAUUAAAUUAGGGUCAAGGUGGGUUUGGCCCAUUUAAGGGGACUCAGUAUCUCUCUCUCUCUCACCGGCUCUCUCUUUUGUUUUAAUGGAGGUGUAAGCAGUGGCGAUCGAAGUGCUUGGAUCUGUUCUCUUGUUCGACUGCCCUGCCACCGACGACGUUUGCCACAGCCCACCGGCGACUCUGCAAAAUUGGAUUUGUCAUGAAGGUGAGGUCAUCAGUGAAGAAACUCUGCGAGUUCUGUAGGACGGUCAAACGUCGUGGAAGAGUGUAUGUGUUAUGCACAUCUAAUCCAAAGCACAAACAACGCCAAGGACUAUCAACAUUUGCGUAUGAAGGUCCACUGCCUCCUGUGACGUCUGAAGUGGGUGCCAAGCAGGAGAUUUCUUCAAGUUAUGGCUCAGAGUUGGGUCUGGCAUCUCUCCUUUCCAAAAGGCAAGUGCCACCGCUGAUUUAUGGCUGGAGGGUAGGUUUGGCAUCCCUUCUGCCAAAGCAGAACAAGUGAUCAUCGACAUUACCAUUUCAGAAAGUAUUAAUGUAAGUUGAUGAAGAUACAAGCUUACAGAUUCAGGUAUUGUGGAAGAGUUGGUGGAAAUAUUGUUCAUUGAUCUGUUGCAACUUGCUUUGUCAGUUGAUUAGUUGGAUAUGGUCGCCCAUUUGGACCAGCUGCUGUUAUAUUUCUUCUUCAUUUUGUAGUUUUUUUCUUCGUAAUUGGUAUAACUAUGUUCCAUAGAUGAAUGCCUAAUUGGUUGUUGGGUUA
This is a long non-coding RNA of Macadamia integrifolia, 818 nucleotides long. RefSeq lists it as uncharacterized. The record is from RefSeq and is a predicted model, not a curated record. Lineage: Eukaryota; Viridiplantae; Streptophyta; Magnoliopsida; Proteales; Proteaceae. The transcript is spliced from 4 exons.